ACGCCGGGCCGUGACUGGCGCGCUGGGAUGGGAUCGACCAUCGGGGAGCGGCCCGACCACGAGUGCCGUGCGCCUGGGCCGUCCAC
Molecule: non-coding RNA, 86 nt
Filed under: Pseudonocardia sp.
Lineage: Bacteria; Bacillati; Actinomycetota; Actinomycetes; Pseudonocardiales; Pseudonocardiaceae
Also listed under: 1 other name
Description: ZTP sequence
Rfam family: ZMP/ZTP riboswitch aptamer (pfl RNA motif)
About the family: Previously known as pfl RNA.
Source: RNAcentral